RNAcentral lists this ribosomal RNA (253 nucleotides) under uncultured bacterium. Its description in RNAcentral is "partial 16S ribosomal RNA". It matches the Rfam family "Bacterial small subunit ribosomal RNA", at positions 524 to 776 of the family's 1533-position model. The record is from RNAcentral.
UACGAAGGGGGCUAGCGUUGCUCGGAAUCACUGGGCGUAAAGGGUGCGUAGGCGGAUCUGCAAGUCGGGGGUGAAAUCCCGAGGCUCAACCUCGGAACUGCCUUCGAUACUGCGGGUCUCGAGUCCGGGAGAGGUGAGUGGAAUUCCUAGUGUAGAGGUGAAAUUCGUAGAUAUUAGGAAGAACACCAGUGGCGAAGGCGGCUCACUGGCCCGGUACUGACGCUGAGGCGCGAAAGCGUGGGGAGCAAACAGG